RNAcentral lists this ribosomal RNA (425 nucleotides) under uncultured eukaryote. RNAcentral's name for it is "bacterial SSU rRNA". It matches the Rfam family "Eukaryotic small subunit ribosomal RNA", at positions 592 to 1018 of the family's 1831-position model. The record is from RNAcentral.
CAAUAGCGUAUAUUAAAGUUGUUGCAGUUAAAAGCUCGUAGUUGGAUUUCUGGCUGGAGCGAUCGGUCCGCCCCGCAAGGGGUGUGUACUAGCGUCGUCUCCGACCAUCCUUGUGGGAACUGUGCGGCCGUUAACUCGGUUGUAUAUGGGAACACAUCGUUUACUGUGAAAAAUUAGAGUGUUUAAAGCAGGCUUAAGCCGUUGAAUACAUUAGCAUGGAAUAAUGGAAUAGGACUUUGGUCUUAUUUUGUUGGUUUCUAAGGCCGAGGUAAUGAUUAAUAGGGAUAGUUGGGGGCGUUUAUAUUCCGUUGUCAGAGGUGAAAUUCUUGGAUUUACGGAAGAUAAACUACUGCGAAAGCAUUCGCCAAGGAUGUUUUCAUUAAUCAAGAACGAAAGUUAGGGGAUCGAAGACGAUUAGAUACCAU